Long non-coding RNA from Labeo rohita (rohu), 3373 nucleotides. RefSeq lists it as uncharacterized. Lineage: Eukaryota; Metazoa; Chordata; Actinopteri; Cypriniformes; Cyprinidae. The record is from RefSeq and is a predicted model, not a curated record. The transcript has 2 exons.
AAGAUAAACAAUUGAAUUUCAUGUCAACCUUUAGUUGCCUUUUGUUCAGAUUUUUAUCUUGCAAUCCAGCAUCAAAUGGAGAAAAACAAGAGCAAAUAAUAUAUUCCAUUUCAGAUGCCUUUCCUUUGUAUUUGUUACCUAGCUACAGAGCUAAACAGCUGUCAAACUGUGUAGAUGACGCAACCACACCGCUGUUCAGUGAUUACAAAGUGAAAAGGAAUCUGUGGUGUCAGGGUAUUGGGGCUAAAAUGUGAACUCACAAAUGUGAAGAUAUUCUGAGAAGUAAAUUGUGUGAGGAAUUUGUCUGAUUUAACAAGAUCACUAAAGAGUGUAUUUGAUUAUGGGAGGAUCAUUUUUUCUUAGAGAUGAUGGUAGAAUUAUAUUUCCAGUGGCAUCACAUCUCUUCGUAAGCCUUCAUGAGUGACACCUACCAUGAUACUCUAAAAUUUCAGCAUGCUAACUCUCCCAUAGUCACAUUGCUCAUCCGUGUUUUGCUAUUAUAGAGCUACUUCCACAUGCCAUGGUCCAUCAGCGUGCAUUUCUUCUGCUGACUUUACCCAUAAACAGGAUUAAGGGAUUACUGCCUUUAUAUGAGAGGAUGAAGACAUUCUGUAUGGCACCAUCUCUACAGGGGAGAAUGUGUUUAAAGAAACCCAAGGCUGAAGAAGUAAUGUUGCUCACAGGGGGAGACUAUAGAACAACCCUUGAUUUGUUAUUAAUGUUCAUAUGAUAUUAAUUCGGUGAUUUAAGUAGACGGGAAAGGUCUUUAAUGAAGGACUGUCUGGAAACCAAAGCACAAUGAAGUUCUCAUUUGGAAGGCAGAGCAAACAGGCGGAAAUAAAUGGACUGCUUAGGAGAGAGCUUGGAAUUCACAGCAGUUUUAUUCUUUAUGUAGGAGUAGACAUGGGAAUUGUAAGGAUUUGAAUGAUUCUGCAGGUGAUUUUGACUUUAAAUAUGUAUUUAUAUACUAAUGAAUGGAAUGGCAUGAGAGUCAGUAAGAUUGAGGGUCAUUUGUUUUUGUUUUCUUUUCCCUUUUUACCAAUUAAUUAAAAAAAUUGUCUGCAUUCUUUCAUGCACUGCACACUGAUUUAAAUGUUUUACUUAAGAUAUUUAAAAAAAAAAAUCAAUCUAAGACUAAAUAAGGGUUUCUUAACACUAGGUUGGAGUACAGGCUACACUGAAACAUUCACUCUCCCCACAGUGUCUCUCUUCCCCACACAGUGUCUCUCUUCACUUUUUUAUCGAGUGUCUGGUCACAGAUCCAAUCUCCAGCUUUAAUUCCUUCAUCUUGUCUUUCAUCUUUGGGCGAGAGAUUUCUAACUGGGUUUAAUGUCCUCCUGACCCUUCAUCUUACCCAGGGCUACAGUGAGGAUCUACAGACACUUCUUUAAUAGAGCUGUAAAAUAUUGAAAACUUCCAUUAGGGACACUAAACUUUCAGUAUCUCUCUUUCGUUCUCUCACUCGUUUUUUUCUUGUUACAUAAAAAGCCGGCAGUGAGAUUACGUGGGAUUAUCACAGCGUGUGUGAUUCUCUUUAUUAUUAGUGGCUAUGCCCAUUAGCGUACAGCAGUGUAGAAUAUUCAUUUGUACUCUUCCGCUGACUCAGACAAAAGAAUAAAACGCAAAGAUUUGGGUCAGUGUAAGGAAAACAACAUCUCAUUAGUGUGGAAACACUGUACCUCAUUAAUGAGUUUUUCACCACCCACAGUAUGGAGGACAGUCUUCCUCAUUUAUUGAGGUGGAGCUGGACAUUUUUGAGCGUGCAGUCUGCUGGCAGAUGGUUGAUAAAUGAGCAUCAGGCAUGCAUUGCUCUUACGCUGCAUGACCGUGAAGGAUCAUUCCGUGCUUUUCUCCACUGCAGAACGUUCCUGAGAUUAUACUCGUCUAUCAAUGUAGCUCCCAGAGUAAUACUCAAACUCUGAUUCUCAUCCUAAUAGAGCUCAGACCAAAAUGCAUAUUACAAGUGGGAAAUGCUUGUUUUUAUUUUACUUUGUGUAAAGGUGAAGUAAUUUCUGUGGCUUAAAACAUAAAUACAAAAAUAAUUAUUGUUUCCAAACAAAGCUUAAGAAAGGAAGGAAGAAUAAGUCAAAAUGGGAAGAAGGAAAGAAUAAUAAGGUUAAAUAGAAGGAAGGAAGAAUAAGGUAAAAUGGAAAGAAGAAUAAGGCAAUAUGCAAGGAAAGAAGGAAGGAAGAAAGAGUCAGGUAAAAUGGAAGGGAAGAAGGAAGGAAGGAAGGAAGCAAGGAAGAAUAAGGUACAAUGGAAGGAAGGAAGCAAGGAAGUAAAAUGGGAGGAAAGAAGGAAGGAUGGAUAAAGGUAAAAUGGAAGGAAGAGAGGAAGAAUACGGUAAAAUGGAAAGAAGGAAGGAAGAAUAAAGUAAAAUGGAAAGAAGGAAGGAAGGAAGAAAAAGGGAAAAUCGGAGUAAGGAAAGAUUAAAAAAAGGAAGGAAGAAUAAAGUAAAAUGGGAAGAAGGAAGAAAAUGGUAAAAUGAAAUGAAAGGAAGGAAGGAAGAAAAAGGGAAAAUCAGAGGAAGGAAAGAUAGAAAGGAAGGAAGAAUAAGGUAAAAUGGAAAGAAAGAAGGAAGCAAGGAGGAAGAGUAAGGUAAAAUGAGAGGAAAGAAGAAAGAAAGAAUACAAUAAAAUGGAAGAAAGGGAGGAUAGAACGAAGGAAGAAUAAAUGAAAGGAAGGAGGAAUACUGUAAAAUGGAAGGAAGGAAGGAAGAAAAAGGGAAAAUCGGCAGAAGGAAAGAUAAAAAAGGAAGGAAGAAUAAAGUAAAAUGGGGAGAAAGAAGGAAGCAAGGAAGGAAGAAUAUGGUAAAAUGAAAGGAAGGAAGGAAUGAAGAAAAAGGGAAAAUCAGAGGAAGGAAAGAAAGAAAGGAAGGAAGAAUAAGGUAAAAUGAAAGGAAUAACGAAAUGAAGGUAAAAUAGGAAGGAAAAAAGAAAUGUAAAAUGGAACAAAGGAAGGAAGCACGAAAGGGAAAGACAGCAGGAAGGAAAGGGAAAACAAGAAGAAAGUAAGGCGAAAGCAGGAAGAAAGUGAGGUGGAAAAAAACAGGAAUUAAGCAAGCGGGAUGAAAGUGAAGGGGAAAGAAAGCAGAAAGGAAGAAGAGGGAAGAAAAAGAUUUUUAAAAAGCACACAGAAAGAACUUUAACAUCAAAAAAUUACACAUGUGGCCUUAAAAGGAUGAGAUGGAUUCUCUCUCAGGCUCUUCCUGUAGCCUGAAGUCCUUCCAUUUCCCUCUGUGCCUUCUCUUUCUCACCUGUGAACAGUAUAGAGGAAUUACUGGCUCAGAAUAACCACAUAUUCAGUACAAAGAAGGUCCUUUAAAAUACUGUCAAGCUCUUGAGAGAGCCUUUGUCUGAAAACUGAGAGCUCA